UUUUUUUUUUUUUUUUUUUAAUUUUCUGUAGAGAUAAGGUCUUGCUAUGUUGCCCAGGCUGGUCUCAAACUCCUGGGCUCAAAUGAUCCUCCCGCUUUGGUCUCCCAAAGUGCUGGAGUUAGAGGUAUGAGCCACUGUGCCUGGCCAGAGCUUAUUUCUUCUCUCUAACUGUAUGUUUGUGUCCAUUACUGUCCAGUCUUUAUCCCCCUGUAAGUAGUUUACAGCUAAGAAUGUUUUUACAUUUUUCCUCUGGUUUUUUUUUUUUUUUUUAAUGAGAUUGCACAGUUUAUUUCCAAACACUCAGAGGAUAGGGAGUGGUCUGUGGGCUCCAUCUGCCUCCCCUCCCUGCAUUUGGCUGAAUCAAGAACUUCUCUCCCCUCAUCCCCAACAUCCUAGGCUGUGCCUGAUAGAGAAGGCACCCUCACGCCCACCCCGAGGAGAGACCCAGACAGGUGAGGAGCAUGGAGGGUGGGGGGACAGAGUUCAGGUAUUCACAGUUCCCCCAUCUCCACCCCUGGAUUACACUGUGCAAAAGCCAUGAGGGAGGAUCCCACCUCUGGGAUUCCUAGUGGUGUUGAUAGUCCUUCUCCCACUUAGGCCUUCCAGAUGAACUCCCUACUCCUUAUCCCUGAAAUAACAAACCAAGUCCUAAGCCCUGUGGUCUGGGCAAGGAGGGGCCUUAGCACACCACUCACCCGAGGCCCCCAGGGAUCGGGGGAGGGCCUUCACCUGUAGUGAAAGGGUUGGGAGCAAGUGUCUAUAAGGAGAGAGGAAGGGAGAGAGCUGAGAGGACCUUGGGAGGCAGGCUUGCAGGCUUCUGACAGAUAAGUUCAGACAGCUCUGGUCUGUUACUCCACCCCGCCCCACACCCCAAGCCCAGAAUCCCUGAGUCCAACUGCAAAGGCAGUACGGCCAGAGGGAGGAAUGGGGGCAGGGAGAGAGCUGGGCAGGACCUGGUCCUCCUCUCCCAGUCAGUCCUGAUCCUGGGAUGCAUGAUGCUUAGGGAGGGCCAGGACCAGCCUCAAGUACCAGCUCUUAGGCUUUGAUCUUCCAGAACAGCUGAAUCCUGGGGAACAUAGGGUAGACCCACCAACCCCCACACCCCAGCUGUCCCGGCCUCGGGUAGGAUGGUGGGAAUGGGCUCUCCCAAGGCUAUUAUAAAAAGCUAAAACCGUUAAACACUUCCAGGGGAGAAGUGGCUCCCAGUCUCUCGCCCCCACCAAGCUAUCAGUCUCCACAGCACCUAGCAGACAGGGCUAAGGAGGUCCCAGAGAGUCAAAGGAGGAGGGCACAGCCCCUGGCCCCAGAGAGAGGGCCCACUAGCAUCAGGUGAUGUUGAGGCACCUCUGCAGCCUGACUGGCCCCCACACAGGGGCCCUCCGAAGCUGGGGUGCACACUUGCUAAAGCUUCUGUGC
This 1416-nucleotide long non-coding RNA is filed under the name Macaca fascicularis (crab-eating macaque). RNAcentral describes it as "lncRNA (ENSMFAG00000063531.1)". The record is from RNAcentral. Lineage: Eukaryota; Metazoa; Chordata; Mammalia; Primates; Cercopithecidae.